AACCGCUCCAAUUCGGGCCCUCAUCCGAGGACUCGUCGGGGUGACCCGAAAUGACCCGGAGAAGCCGUAGGGAGGUCCGGGGAGAGUUGUCUCUUCUCUAUAAGCGUUCGAGUUCCCUGGAAGCCUCUAGGAGGGAGAUAGGGUUUGGAACGCGAAGAGCACCGCACUUACGGCGGUGUCCGGAUCUUCCCCUCGGACCUUGAAAAUCCGGGCGAGGGCCACGAGGAACACCGCGCCGGCUCGUACCCAUAUCCGCAGCAGGUCUCCAAGGUGAAUAGCCUCUAGUCGAUAGAAUAAUGUAGGUAAGGGAAGUCGGCAAACCCGAUCUGUAACUUCGGGAUAAGGAUUGGCUCUGAGGAUCGUGGCGCGCCGGGCUUGGUCGGGAAGUGGAGCGGUGCCAACGUGCCGGGCCUGGGCGAGGUGAAGGGCGCUUGUCGUCUGGACCCUAGCUCGGUCCCGUGCCUUGGCCACCCACGGACCUUCCUUGCUGCGAGCCUCCCGGCUGUCUAGUUUCCGGCCCAGCCGGAGUACGGGCCGGAAGGCUCUUCGGCCGCCAUAGAACGAUCAACUUAGAACUGGCACGGACCAGGGGAAUCCGACUGUCUAAUUAAAACAAAGUAUUGCGAGGGC
This 630-nucleotide ribosomal RNA is filed under the name Stenoeurilla aenescens. RNAcentral's name for it is "partial large subunit ribosomal RNA". It matches the Rfam family "Eukaryotic large subunit ribosomal RNA", at positions 1605 to 2168 of the family's 3401-position model. Lineage: Eukaryota; Metazoa; Arthropoda; Insecta; Hemiptera; Coreidae. The record is from RNAcentral.